AUAUCCAUGGUCAUGGCUCAUCAUUAGUCGCACUGCUCUCCUUUUCUCAAAGUUUAAAUUCGACAUUUGGUAAAAUGAUGAAACCUCGAUGGAACUGCUCUCUUUAUGGAAUCACGGAAUGGACAAAUAAUCAAAAUCAGAAAUCGAAGCGAAAAGGGAGGAGAAAAACGCAGAUUUGGAGGAUUGGGGACAGAUUAGAUACUGUUGAAUGCAUCACUCUAAUGCUAUCAGCCUAUUAAUAGCGUCCUAUAUUUUCGAAGACUUUUAAUGUUUAGGGUUAUGGAUUUUUCGAGCGAAGCAUGGAGAGAUGUUGAAUUGGAUACUAUAGGAUUUGGUACAACACAUACAUAUGUUCUGCUUCUGCAAAACUAACAUAUCAAGUUCAGAGAAACCAAUGCUUUAGAAGGUUUGCGGAGUAGCUAGAGAAUCUGGUAUCUUCAGUUCUUCAAUUUCAGCUACUUGGUAUCAGCUUCGUCAUUGUAUAUCAACACAUUCUUAAUAUAUAAUACUACUUUUUCAUCCAUUAAACCCCUUACAAUGUCGAGUAAACGAAGCAUCUGUCCCCUGG
Molecule: unclassified non-coding RNA, 568 nt
Filed under: Arabidopsis thaliana (thale cress)
Lineage: Eukaryota; Viridiplantae; Streptophyta; Magnoliopsida; Brassicales; Brassicaceae
Description: partial MIR447a microRNA precursor
Source: RNAcentral